CUGUUGUGUGGGAAGAUAAUGACGGUACCACACGAGGAAGCCCCGGCAAACUACGUGCCAGCAGCCGCGGUAAUACGUAGGGGGCGAGCGUUGUUCGGAAUUACUGGGCGUAAAGCGCACGCAGGCGGACCAGUAAGUCUGUCGUCAAAGGCGGAGGCUCAACCUUCGUUCCACGAUAGAUACUGCGGGUCUAGAGUAUGUGAGAGGGAAGUGGAAUUCCCGGUGUAGCGGUGAAAUGCGUAGAGAUCUUGAGGAAUACCGGUGGCGAAGGCGGCCCCCUGGACAAAGACUGACGCUCAGGUGCGAAAGCGUGGGGAGCAAACAGGAUUAGAUACCCUGGUAGUCCACG
This 349-nucleotide ribosomal RNA is filed under the name Klebsiella pneumoniae. RNAcentral describes it as "bacterial SSU rRNA". It matches the Rfam family "Bacterial small subunit ribosomal RNA", at positions 433 to 799 of the family's 1533-position model. The record is from RNAcentral. Lineage: Bacteria; Pseudomonadati; Pseudomonadota; Gammaproteobacteria; Enterobacterales; Enterobacteriaceae.